GAUGAACGCUGGCGGCGUGCCUAAUACAUGCAAGUCGAGCGAACAGACGAGGAGCUUGCUCCUUCGACGUUAGCGGCGGACGGGUGAGUAACACGUAGGUAACCUACCUAUAAGACUGGGAUAACUUCGGGAAACCGGAGCUAAUACCGGAUAAUAUUUCGAACCGCAUGGUUCGAUAGUGAAAGAUGGCUUUGCUAUCACUUAUAGAUGGACCUGCGCCGUAUUAGCUAGUUGGUAAGGUAACGGCUUACCAAGGCAACGAUACGUAGCCGACCUGAGAGGGUGAUCGGCCACACUGGAACUGAGACACGGUCCAGACUCCUACGGGAGGCAGCAGUAGGGAAUCUUCCGCAAUGGGCGAAAGCCUGACGGAGCAACGCCGCGUGAGUGAUGAAGGUCUUCGGAUCGUAAAACUCUGAUAUUAGGGAAGAACAAACGUGUAAGUAACUGUGCACGUCUUGACGGUACCUAAUCAGAAAGCCACGGCUAACUACGUG
This 497-nucleotide ribosomal RNA is filed under the name uncultured bacterium. Its description in RNAcentral is "partial 16S ribosomal RNA". It matches the Rfam family "Bacterial small subunit ribosomal RNA", at positions 28 to 507 of the family's 1533-position model. The record is from RNAcentral.